This 210-nucleotide ribosomal RNA is filed under the name uncultured bacterium. Its description in RNAcentral is "partial 16S ribosomal RNA". It matches the Rfam family "Bacterial small subunit ribosomal RNA", at positions 27 to 242 of the family's 1533-position model. The record is from RNAcentral.
GGACGAACGCUGGCGGCGUGCUUAACACAUGCAAGUCGAGCGGUAAGGCCCUUCGGGGUACACGAGCGGCGAACGGGUGAGUAACACGUGGGUGACCUGCCCUCAGCUCUGGGAUAAGCCCGGGAAACUGGGUCUAAUACCGGAUACGACCUCUCAUCGCAUGGUGGUGGGUGGAAAGUUUUUCGGCUGGGGAUGGGCCCGCGGCCUAUC